AUACGUAGGGUGCAAGCGUUAAUCGGAAUUACUGGGCGUAAAGCGUGCGCAGGCGGUUUUGUAAGACAGUGGUGAAAUCCCCGGGCUCAACCUGGGAACUGCCAUUGUGACUGCAAGGCUGGGGUGCGGCAGAGGGGGAUGGAAUUCCGCGUGUAGCAGUGAAAUGCGUAGAUAUGCGGAGGAACACCGAUGGCGAAGGCAAUCCACUGGGCCUGCACUGACGCUCAUGCACGAAAGCGUGGGGAGCAAACAGGAUUAGAUACCCUGGUAGUCCACGCCCUAAACGAUGUCAACUGGUUGUUGGGGAUUUAUUUUCUCAGUAACGAAGCUAACGCGUGAAGUUGACCGCCUGGGGAGUACGGCCGCAAGGUUAAAACUCAAAGGAAUUGACGGGG
Molecule: ribosomal RNA, 395 nt
Filed under: uncultured bacterium
Lineage: Bacteria
Description: partial 16S ribosomal RNA
Rfam family: Bacterial small subunit ribosomal RNA
Source: RNAcentral